CUCCAACAUGUACAGAUAAAAUUCGAGUUCAAAUCUAAAUCUGUCACGUGCAUGACAUGUGAAGAUAUAUGAAUAUAUGGCAGGGAUCUAAUGGAUAAAAGAAAAAGAAAAAAAACAGAAAGAAGAAGAAGUGGACCAGUGGCUUUGGAGAGGAAGACAUGCAUAAUUUUAUUUGGGACCCAUGGGAUUAAAUGAAGUAAAGUGGUUCAGGCAAACGGGCGCGG
RNAcentral lists this long non-coding RNA (224 nucleotides) under Elaeis guineensis (African oil palm). RNAcentral's name for it is "long non-coding RNA (EGUI_LNC033414)". Lineage: Eukaryota; Viridiplantae; Streptophyta; Magnoliopsida; Arecales; Arecaceae. The record is from RNAcentral.